CCUACGGGGGGCAGCAGUGAGGAAUAUUGGUCAAUGGACGAGAGUCUGAACCAGCGACGUAGCGUGAAGGAUGACUGCCCUAUGGGUUGUAAACUUCUUUUAUAUGGGAAUAAAACGUUCCACGUGUGGGAUUUUGUAUGUACCAUAUGAAUAAGGAUCGGCUAACUCCGUGCCAGCAGCCGCGGUAAUACGGAGGAUCCGAGCGUUAUCCGGAUUUAUUGGGUUUAAAGGGAGCGUAGGUGGAUUGUUAAGUCAGUUGUGAAAGUUUGCGGCUCAACCGUAAAUUUGCAGUUGAAACUGGCAGUCUUGAGUACAGUAGAGGUGGGCGGAAUUCGUGGUGUAGCGGUGAAAUGCUUAGAUAUCACGAAGAACUCCGAUUGCGAAGGCAGUUCACUGGACUGCAACUGACACUGAGGCUCGAAAGUGUGGGUAUCAAACAGGAUUAGAUACCCCAGUAGUC
This 460-nucleotide ribosomal RNA is filed under the name uncultured bacterium. RNAcentral describes it as "partial 16S ribosomal RNA". It matches the Rfam family "Bacterial small subunit ribosomal RNA", at positions 338 to 795 of the family's 1533-position model. The record is from RNAcentral.